This 545-nucleotide long non-coding RNA is filed under the name Danio rerio (zebrafish). RNAcentral's name for it is "lncRNA si:ch73-281f12.2 (ENSDARG00000113546.1)". The record is from RNAcentral. Lineage: Eukaryota; Metazoa; Chordata; Actinopteri; Cypriniformes; Danionidae.
GAAAAAGGCUCCUGUUGACCCUCAGAGAGCAGCAUCUCCAGUGUUCAGCUGUGUGUCCAUGAAGAGCAACAGAUCCAUGCAUCAGCCUCCCCAAUUCAGUGAUGGAUCUGCUGUGAGAUCUGCGUCUGUUGAUCUAUGGAUGAAGCAAACAGAACAGCAGCUCUUGCCUCAUGAAAGUGAACUGCAGAUGAAUGAGACGAGACCUCAGCUCUGGCCUAAUGGAUGUGAACAACAGUUGAAGGACACAAGACCUCAGCCCUGGCCUACUGGAAAUGAACAACAGUUGAAGGACACAAGACCUCAGCUCUGGCCUAAUGGAUGUGAACAACAGUUGAAGGACACAAUACCUCAGCUCUGGCCUAAUGGAAGUGAACAACAGUUGAAGGACACGAGACCUCAGCUCUGGCCUAAUGGAAGUGAACUACAGUUGAAGGACACGAGACCUCAGCUCUGGCCUAAUGGAUGUGAACAACAGUUGAAGGACACGAGACCUCAGCUCUGGCCUAAUGGAUGUGAACAACAGUUGAAGGACACGAGACCUCAGC